AGCCAUGCACGUCUAAGUACAAACUAAAUGAUGGUGAAACUGCAAAUGGCUCAUUACAACGGUUAUGAUGUACCCGGGAGUUCCGAUGGAUAUUUCCAGUAACACUAGAACUAAUACAUGCUCCUGCGUUUAUUAGUUUCGCACAGUCCGUCGCUGAGUCAUGGUAAACAGUUGAUCGACUCGACGUCCCGGAACAGUUUCCGCCCCAUCAGCUUCGAUGGUUGGGUAUUGGCCUACCAUUGCAACAACGGGUAACGAGGAAUUAGGGUUUGAUUUCGGAGAGGGAGCCUGAGAAACGGCUACCACAUCUACGAUGNGCAGCAGGCGCGCAAAUUACCCAAUGCAGACUCUGUGAGGUAGUGACGAGAAAUAAUAAAGCGGGACUUCUGUUUCGCUAUUAUAAUGAGGAAUAACCAAAGGUCAUUCCGAUUAGCAACUGAUGGGAAAGUCUGGUGCCAGCAGCCGCGGUAAUACCAGCGUCAGUAGCAUAUAUUAAAAUUGUUGCAGUUAAAACGUCCGUAGUCUGUACGUCGUCCCAAACUCACUGCAGUCUUCCGUUUUCUUCAUUGAAUGCGGUAGUUUCUGCAGUCACUCCCUUGAUCAAAUUAGGUUGUUCAAGGUAGACCAAGUCUUCAUAUUUUCACAUGGAAUUGGGUGAGGGAACUUAAGAGUUUAAGUUUCUCGUCUUAAGAUCAUCCGGGGUCAUUCGUACUCGUCCGCGAGAGGUGAAAUUCUUGGACCGGACGAAGACGACCAGCAGCGAAAGCAUCUGUCAGGGAUGUUUUCUGCGACCAAGGACGAAGGUCAGGUAUCGAAGACGAUUAGAUACCGUCGUAAUCCUGACUGUAAACUAUGCCAACUUGGGUCUUGCUGGGCGAUGCUUUGUGAGACCCACACAGAA
Molecule: ribosomal RNA, 901 nt
Filed under: uncultured alveolate
Lineage: Eukaryota
Description: bacterial SSU rRNA
Rfam family: Eukaryotic small subunit ribosomal RNA
Source: RNAcentral